CCUGUGUCAGCGGCUCUCGGGUCAAAGUGUCCGGGGCUUCUGUGCUAUUUCUCCUCGGAUGGAUUUCAGAGCUGAGCCACAUCACCAAACGCAUCCCGGAAGCAGAGCUGCCUCUGCGCUGAUUGGACGGAGCGGCCAACUGACAUCGAAGAAGGAAACAUGAAGAAGACAGGACACGACCUACGAGUGAACCUGAUCAUCAACCACAUCCGCCAGCUGGGCAGGAGCCUGCUGCUGCUCGCCCACUACACCACGGUGUUUGUGGCCUUCGUGGGCCGCAGCGUGCAGUGGAUGGUGGAGGCGGUGAGGUGGACCAGCCUGUUUGCACGAUACACCGUGUCCGCGUUCGAUUCCAUCUACAGACUUCUGCACCGGGGCAAGAGGAGCAGCGUGGCAGCGGGGACCAGAGAGAUCUGCCCGGGCGCCGACACGCAGCCACACUGUGCAUCAUAACUUCAUAUCUGCAAACUGACAACCACCAGCGGAGACUGGCUCAACUUACGAAAAGGGAGUGAAAAAAAAAAAAAAACGCACGAUGAAGGAGGAAAAUGAGGCCUUACUGUAGUGUGAAACUUUUUACUUUUUUUAAGCACUUAUAACAUAACUUUUUGUAACAUACUCUUACUAGUCUUGUACAUUGUUAUGUUUUUGUUAUCGUCAGCAAAAGCUCUUUCAAAAUGUUGGAAAACAUUCAAGCUCUUUGUUAGAUGAAGUCAUUCAUCCCUCGUACCUGUUGAUAUGACAGGGGAAUGGUAAUUUAUACCAUUUCAGAGUUAUCACACUAAAUUGAACAGUACAUGAAUUCAGUAAAGUACAAACCACUACCAAGGCCCGACAGGCCCCUCAUGAAACAACAUUUAAAGCCACUAAAUCCAGUUUUUUUAUUUGUACACACUCAUCUAUUUCAGAGCCCUAAAAAUGUCUGAUAUUUUCUUCCAGAUCCAUUAAUUAUUCUCUGAGAAAUCAAAGAAAAUUUAAAUUUUUAGAGUAAGUGAAAAAAACAUAUCUCGAUUUGCCCCCUAAACCAGAUUCACACCAAAGCUUAUCAGAUACUUUCCUGACACAUAUCACAUCUUUCCUCAAAGUUUUGUGGAAAUCUAUCCAGUACUUUUUGUGCCAUCUUGUUCACAAACAAACAGACAGGGGUGAAAUCAUAACUUCCUUGGCGGAGGUAAAAAAAAAAUGCAUCACACCAUCAACAGCCAAAUGUAUUUUUAAACCUGUGCCUGUGAAGUUCAUACAUGAUUUAAUAUGAAUGUGUUGUUUUUUGGGCAUCUUUUACGCUGACAUGACUGUGGAGACGCAUGCUGCUUUAUCUGUUUGACAUUAAUACGAAUGUGUUCCGCAGGUUAUCUGACGUUAGUGUGAGAAAUGACAACGUGAAAAGUGGCAUGUUGCUUUAAAGUGACCCGCAGCUGCAUUUACUAAUGACGUUUGUCAUUUUUACUUUUGUAUUAAUUAUUGUAUUUUAAAUGUAAGUGCAUUCAGAAUGCAACAUAAGCACUGACAUGAUUAUACUGGUAUUACUUUUCUAUUUCAGCUGCUGAAAUCAACAAACACACAUUCAAGUAUAUUGCAAGAUUGUUAUACCAAAGGAAUCCUGUGCAAGAAGUGAGAUUUAAUUUCAUAUAUUUUCUCGUAUUUCGUAUACGUUUCAAAAAUGCAAGCUGUAAUGUUUGUUCAGUUAUUGUACUAAUCAGCCAUAACUGGUUUCAUACUCUAAUAUCCAAAUAAAUUUCUCUACCAAA
This is a long non-coding RNA of Hippoglossus stenolepis (Pacific halibut), 1748 nucleotides long. RefSeq lists it as uncharacterized. The transcript is spliced from 2 exons. Lineage: Eukaryota; Metazoa; Chordata; Actinopteri; Pleuronectiformes; Pleuronectidae. The record is from RefSeq and is a predicted model, not a curated record.